CCGGGGGUUAAAGCCACAAAAACACAAUUGCAAUUUUAGAAGCUCAACUGGGAUUCAAGGAGGAGGGGACGGGGAGGGGGGAGAGAAAGACCAAACCUACUUCAGCCUUUUCAACCAGGAAGCUUGGGUGAUUGGAGGAACAAUACACUAUUCUUGAACACAACCCAAGCCUAGCUUGGAUCAUCUGCCUCCUUGGGAGUGAACUCAAAAGCCGGGCGACGGGCUGGGGCGGUUUCAUCCAUGAUGACCACAGGUUCCCGUGCGUGAGCGGUAGUGAACACACUCAAACCAUACCCAUAUCAUAGCGGGGUUGGAGAAGUUCUGAUCUCCAAAUGUAGUUUUAAGCCGGGCAGCUAUGGAAGGCACUUCACAAGACAAGGAGGGGAUGGACGCAUACUUCUCAAGAUCCAGGUUUCCCAUUUCACGUUUGUGAAGAUCUGAAGGAGAACAUCUUCCUCCAGAGCUGGAUGAGCGCGUCUUCUCACAGCUUCCCAGCCCAUGCACAAACCGCCAUGCAGCAGACGUCAAGAGGAGGAGGAUUUUUAUUUUUCAGACUGAGAAAUAGAAAAAAAGGGAAGAAGACUUUCCGGUUACUGUAAAACCCGUGUAGGAGUUGAGCGAGCAGCAGUGAGCAGACAGCGCUGUUUCAAGCCUCCUACGCCGCUCCCACCCUCCGGUGACUUUCUCGCAGGGUCCCUUCCGGUAGAAGGGAGUCGAUACAAGGUCUUGUAGUGUAGAGUUUACAGGGAAAUUUCCCCGGGGUUCAACCAGGAACAAACAUUCUUUUUUUUUUUUUUUCCUCCGAAACUAAUGGCUUUAAUCUUCGAGCGCACUGUCGUCGAGUAAAAUUGAUCCUGUAUUCUUCCUUUGUCGUGGAAUUGUUAACACCCAGAGUGCAGCUUUGUGGCUGCCCUAUGAAUAAGACUUUGCAGCUCUCAUUUUGUUCGUAGCUUCGUGUGCUCUUAGAAAAUGUAUACUCCCUUCAUUGUGAUGUGCCCAGUUAGUUAUUUAUUUAUCUAUUUAUUUAUUUUUACUGCCAUGGGUUGUUGUAGAAGGAUUCUGAUGCUGUAC
Meriones unguiculatus (Mongolian gerbil) is the source of this 1071-nucleotide long non-coding RNA. RefSeq lists it as uncharacterized. The record is from RefSeq and is a predicted model, not a curated record. The transcript is spliced from 4 exons. Lineage: Eukaryota; Metazoa; Chordata; Mammalia; Rodentia; Muridae.